GGCCUGUUGGUGAAGUGGUUUAACACGCGCGCCUCUCAAGCUCGUAUUCACGGGUUCAAACCCCGUACAGGCUACCA
This 77-nucleotide transfer RNA is filed under the name bacterium. RNAcentral's name for it is "tRNA-Glu". It matches the Rfam family "tRNA". Rfam says of the family: Transfer RNA (tRNA) molecules are approximately 80 nucleotides in length. Their secondary structure includes four short double-helical elements and three loops (D, anti-codon, and T loops). RNAcentral also lists the same sequence under 3 other names. The record is from RNAcentral.